This 65-nucleotide non-coding RNA is filed under the name Streptomyces sp. RK76. RNAcentral also lists the same sequence under 2 other names. Lineage: Bacteria; Bacillati; Actinomycetota; Actinomycetes; Kitasatosporales; Streptomycetaceae. The record is from RNAcentral.
AGGCGAAACGCCCUGCGGGGCGUCGUCCCAGCGCGGUUGCUGGGGCCUGAUGAUGCCAGCCUGCA